GACGAACGCUGGCGGCGUGCCUAAUACAUGCAAGUCGAGCGGACCGAAAAGAAGCUUGCUUCGAUUCGGUUAGCGGCGGACGGGUGAGUAACACGUGGGCAACCUGCCCUGUAGACGGGGAUAACACCGAGAAAUCGGUGCUAAUACCGGAUAACACGAAAKGYCGCAUGGYCUUUCGUUGAAAGGCGGCGCAAGCUGUCGCUACAGGAUGGGCCCGCGGCGCAUUAGCUAGUUGGUGAGGUAACGGCUCACCAAGGCGACGAUGCGUAGCCGACCUGAGAGGGUGAUCGGCCACACUGGGACUGAGACACGGCCCAGACUCCUACGGGAGGCAGCAGUAGGGAAUCUUCCGCAAUGGACGAAAGUCUGACGGAGCAACGCCGCGUGAGCGAAGAAGGUCUUCGGAUUGUAAAGCUCUGUUGUUAGGGAAGAACAAGUACCGCAGUAACUGGCGGUACCUUGACGGUACCUAACGAGAAA
This 480-nucleotide ribosomal RNA is filed under the name Anoxybacteroides contaminans. RNAcentral's name for it is "bacterial SSU rRNA". It matches the Rfam family "Bacterial small subunit ribosomal RNA", at positions 28 to 489 of the family's 1533-position model. Lineage: Bacteria; Bacillati; Bacillota; Bacilli; Caryophanales; Anoxybacillaceae. The record is from RNAcentral.